UCUUCCCUUAUGAUGAAAUCGAGACAGAAGCUGUUCUGGCCAUUGAUGAUGAUAUCAUUAUGCUGACCUCUGACGAGCUGCAAUUUGGUUAUGAGGUCUGGCGGGAAUUUCCUGACCGGUUGGUGGGUUACCCGGGUCGUCUGCAUCUCUGGGACCAUGAGAUGAAUAAGUGGAAGUACGAGUCUGAGUGGACGAAUGAAGUGUCCAUGGUGCUCACUGGGGCAGCUUUUUAUCACAAGUAUUUUAAUUACCUGUAUACCUACAAAAUGCCUGGGGAUAUCAAGAACUGGGUAGAUGCUCAUAUGAACUGUGAAGAUAUUGCCAUGAACUUCCUGGUGGCCAACGUCACGGGAAAAGCAGUUAUCAAGGUCAGAGUGCAUCAACAAGUUUGCUUCAGUCUUCGGGACCAUGCCUCUCAAGGUGGUGGAACACCGAGCUGACCCUGUCCUGUACAAAGAUGACUUUCCUGAGAAACUGAAGAGCUUCCCCAACAUUGGCAGCUUAUGAAACGUGUCAUUGGU
This 521-nucleotide small RNA is filed under the name Pan troglodytes (chimpanzee). RNAcentral's name for it is "processed transcript". Lineage: Eukaryota; Metazoa; Chordata; Mammalia; Primates; Hominidae. The record is from RNAcentral.